GUGCCAGCCGCCGCGGUAAUACCGGCAGCCCGAGUGAUGGCCGAUCUUAUUGGGCCUAAAGCGUCCGUAGCUGGCCGCGCAAGUCCAUCGGGAAAUCCACCUGCUCAACGGGUGGGCGCCCGGUGGAAACUGUGCGGCUUGGGACCGGAAGGCGCGACGGGUACGUCCGGGGUAGGAGUGAAAUCCCGUAAUCCUGGACGGACCGCCGAUGGCGAAAGCACGUCGCGAGAACGGAUCCGACAGUGAGGGACGAAAGCCAGGGUCUCGAACCGGAUUAGAAACCCUGGUAGUCC
This 293-nucleotide ribosomal RNA is filed under the name uncultured bacterium. RNAcentral's name for it is "partial 16S ribosomal RNA". It matches the Rfam family "Archaeal small subunit ribosomal RNA", at positions 455 to 747 of the family's 1478-position model. The record is from RNAcentral.